This 489-nucleotide ribosomal RNA is filed under the name uncultured bacterium. RNAcentral's name for it is "partial 16S ribosomal RNA". It matches the Rfam family "Bacterial small subunit ribosomal RNA", at positions 28 to 507 of the family's 1533-position model. The record is from RNAcentral.
GACGAACGCUGGCGGCGUGCUUAACACAUGCAAGUCGAACGGUGAAGGGACCAGCCUGCUGGUUCUGGAUGAGUGGCGAACGGGUGAGUAACACGUGAGUAACCUGCCCCCUUCUUCUGGAUAACCGCAUGAAAGUGUGGCUAAUACGGGAUAUUCUGGGUCUGUCGCAUGGCGGGCCCGGGAAAGAUAUUGCUUCGGUGGGGGAUGGGCUCGCGGCCUAUCAGCUUGAUGGUGGGGUGAUGGCCUACCAAGGCGGUGACGGGUAGCCGGCCUGAGAGGGUGGACGGUCACACUGGGACUGAGACACGGCCCAGACUCCUACGGGAGGCAGCAGUGGGGAAUAUUGCACAAUGGGCGCAAGCCUGAUGCAGCGACGCCGCGUGAGGGAUGGAGGUCUUCGGGUUGUAAACCUCUUUCGCCAGUGAAGCAGGCCUGCUCCUUGUGGGUGGGUUGACGGUAGCUGGAUAAGAAGCGCCGGCUAACUACGUG